Molecule: ribosomal RNA, 118 nt
Filed under: Myotis davidii
Lineage: Eukaryota; Metazoa; Chordata; Mammalia; Chiroptera; Vespertilionidae
Source: RNAcentral
GUCUAUGGCCACACCUCCCUGGACCGCCCCAUCUUGUCUCGUCUCCAGAGCUAAGCAGGGUCAGGCCUGGUUAGUACUCGGAUGGGAGGCUGUCUGGGCAGACCGGGGGCUGUAGGCU